Molecule: transfer RNA, 67 nt
Filed under: Eubalaena glacialis (North Atlantic right whale)
Lineage: Eukaryota; Metazoa; Chordata; Mammalia; Artiodactyla; Balaenidae
Also listed under: 1 other name
Description: tRNA-Val
Source: RNAcentral
CAAGAUAUAGCUUAAACAAAGCAUCUAGUUUACACCUAGAAGAUUCCACACUCUGUGUAUAUCUUGA